GAUGAACGCUAGCGGGAGGCUUAAUACAUGCAAGUCGAGGGGUAACAUUAGAGCUUGCUCUAGAUGACGACCGGCGCACGGGUGAGUAACGCGUACACGACCUACCUUCAAGAGGAGGAUAGCCCUGGGAAACUGGGAUUAAUACUCCAUAGUAUUGAUUUUGUAAGGAUAUCAAUUAAAGCCUUCGGGUGCUUGGAGAUGGGUGUGCGUUCCAUUAGCUAGUUGGUAAGGUAACGGCUUACCAAGGCUACGAUGGAUAGGGGGCGUGAGAGCGUGAUCCCCCACACGGGUACUGAGACACGGACCCGACUCCUACGGGAGGCAGCAGUAAGGAAUAUUGGACAAUGGGCGCAAGCCUGAUCCAGCCAUCCCGCGUGCAGGAUGACGGCCCUAUGGGUUGUAAACUGCUUUUAUAAAGGAAGAAUAGUCUAGAUUUAUUUGGAUGUGACGGUACUUUAUGAAUAAGCACCGGCUAACUCCGUGCCAGCCGCCGCAGUAACAC
RNAcentral lists this ribosomal RNA (502 nucleotides) under uncultured bacterium. Its description in RNAcentral is "bacterial SSU rRNA". It matches the Rfam family "Bacterial small subunit ribosomal RNA", at positions 28 to 526 of the family's 1533-position model. The record is from RNAcentral.